This 506-nucleotide ribosomal RNA is filed under the name uncultured bacterium. Its description in RNAcentral is "partial 16S ribosomal RNA". It matches the Rfam family "Bacterial small subunit ribosomal RNA", at positions 29 to 523 of the family's 1533-position model. The record is from RNAcentral.
AGUGAACGCUGGCGGUAGGCCUAACACAUGCAAGUCGAACGGCAGCACAGGAGAGCUUGCCCUCUGGGUGGCGAGUGGCGGACGGGUGAGGAAUACAUCGGAAUCUACUCUGUCGUGGGGGAUAACGUAGGGAAACUUACGCUAAUACCGCAUACGACCUACGGGUGAAAGCAGGGGAUCUUCGGACCUUGCGCGAUCGAAUGAGCCGAUGUCGGAUUAGCUAGUUGGCGGGGUAAAGGCCCACCAAGGCGACGAUCCGUAGCUGGUCUGAGAGGAUGAUCAGCCACACUGGAACUGAGACACGGUCCAGACUCCUACGGGAGGCAGCAGUGGGGAAUAUUGGACAAUGGGCGCAAGCCUGAUCCAGCCAUACCGCGUGGGUGAAGAAGGCCUUCGGGUUGUAAAGCCCUUUUGUUGGGAAAGAAAUCCAGCUGGUUAAUACCCGGUUGGGAUGACGGUACCCAAAGAAUAAGCACCGGCUAACUUCGUGCCAGCCGCCGCGGUAA